RNAcentral lists this unclassified non-coding RNA (342 nucleotides) under soil metagenome. RNAcentral's name for it is "partial contains 5.8S ribosomal RNA, internal transcribed spacer 2, and large subunit ribosomal RNA". The stretch from base 1 to 119 matches the Rfam family "5.8S ribosomal RNA", at positions 35 to 154 of the family's 154-position model. The record is from RNAcentral.
GAUGAAGAACUAGCGAAAUGCGAUAAGUAAUGUGAAUUGCAGAAUUCAGUGAAUCAUCGAAUCUUUGAACGCACAUUGCGCCCGCUAGUAUUCUGGCGGGCAUGCCUGUCCGAGCGUCAUUUCAACCCUCAAGCCCCCGGGCUUGGUGUUGGGGAUCGGCGAGCCUCCGCGCCCGCCGUCCCCUAAAUCUAGUGGCGGUCUCGCUGUAGCUUCCUCUGCGUAGUAGCACACCUCGCACUGGGAAACAGCGCGGCCACGCCGUUAAACCCCCAACUUCUGAACGUUUGACCUCGGAUCAGGUAGGAAUACCCGCUGAACUUAAGCAUAUCAAUAAGCGGAGGA